RNAcentral lists this ribosomal RNA (480 nucleotides) under Filifactor villosus. RNAcentral describes it as "bacterial SSU rRNA". It matches the Rfam family "Bacterial small subunit ribosomal RNA", at positions 9 to 490 of the family's 1533-position model. The record is from RNAcentral. Lineage: Bacteria; Bacillati; Bacillota; Clostridia; Peptostreptococcales; Filifactoraceae.
GAGUUUGAUCAUGGCUCAGGAUGAACGCUGGCGGCGUGCUUAACACAUGCAAGUCGAACGGGCGAAUUAUAUCGGAGGUCUUCGGGCCGAAGAGAUAAUAAGCUAGUGGCGGACGGGUGCGUAACGUGUGGGUAAUCUGCCUUUGUCAUAGGAAUAACUGCUUGAAAAAGUAGCUAAUACCAAAUAACAUAUCGUAUAGGCAUCUAUAAGAUAUCAAAGAGAAAUCGGACAAAGAUGAGCCCGCAUCUGAUUAGCUGGUUGGUAGGGUAAAAGCCUACCAAGGCGACGAUCAGUAGCCGGCCUGAGAGGGUGAACGGCCACAUUGGAACUGAGACACGGUCCAAACUCCUACGGGAGGCAGCAGUGGGGAAUAUUGCACAAUGGGGGGAACCCUGAUGCAGCAACGCCGCGUGAGUGAAGAAGGCUUUCGAGUCGUAAAACUCUGUUGUAAGGGAAGAUAAGGGACGGACCUAAAAGAAG